UACGUAGAGUGCGAGCGUUAAUCGGAAUUACUGGGCGUAAAGCGUGCGCAGGCGGUUUUGUAAGCCAGAUGUGAAAGCCCCGGGCUCAACCUGGGAAUGGCAUUUGGGACUGCAAGGCUGGAGUUUGGCAGAGGAGACUGGAAUUCCUGGUGUAGCAGUGAAAUGCGUAGAUAUCAGGAGGAAUACCGAUGGCGAAGGCAGGUCUCUGGGCUAUAACUGACGCUCAUGCACGAAAGCGUGGGGAGCAAACAGG
RNAcentral lists this ribosomal RNA (253 nucleotides) under uncultured bacterium. RNAcentral describes it as "partial 16S ribosomal RNA". It matches the Rfam family "Bacterial small subunit ribosomal RNA", at positions 524 to 776 of the family's 1533-position model. The record is from RNAcentral.